This 871-nucleotide ribosomal RNA is filed under the name Staphylococcus sp. NIOT-BARREN 38. RNAcentral describes it as "bacterial SSU rRNA". It matches the Rfam family "Bacterial small subunit ribosomal RNA", at positions 80 to 976 of the family's 1533-position model. Lineage: Bacteria; Bacillati; Bacillota; Bacilli; Caryophanales; Staphylococcaceae. The record is from RNAcentral.
UGCUCCUUUGCGUUAGCGGCGGACGGGUGAGUAACACGUGGGUAACCUCCUUAGACUGGAAUAACUCCGGGAAACCGGGGCUAAUGCCGGAUACUUUAAACCGCUGGUUCUAAAGUGAAAGAUGGUUUUGCUAUCACUUAUAGAUGGACCCGCGCCGUAUUAGCUAGUUGGUAAGGUAACGGCUUACCAAGGCAACGAUACGUACCACCUGAGAGGGUGAUCGGCCACACUGGAACUGAACCGGUCCAACUCCUACGGGAGGCAGCAGUAGGGAAUCUUCCGCAAUGGGCGAAAGCCUGACGGAGCAACGCCGCGUGAGUGAUGAAGGUCUUCGGAUCGUAAAACUCUGUUAUUAGGAAAACAAAUGGUAAUAACUGUGCACGUCUUGACGGUACCUAAUCAAAAGCCACGGUAACUACGUGCCAGCAGCCGCGGUAAUACGUAGGUGGCAAGCGUUAUCCGGAAUUAUUGGGCGUAAAGCGCGCGUAGGCGGUUUCUUAAGUCUGAUGUGAAAGCCCACGGCUCAACCGUGGAGGGUCAUUGGAAACUGGAAACUUGAGUGCAGAAGAGGAAAGUGGAAUUCCUGUGUAGCGGUGAAAUGCGCAGAGAUAUGGAGAACACCAGUGAAGCGACUUUCUGGUCUGUAACUGACGCUGAUGUGCGAAGCGUGGGGAUCAAACAGAUUAGAUACCCUGGUAGUCCACGCCGUAAACGAUGAGUGCUAGUGUAAGGGGUUUCCGCCCCUUACUGCUGCGCUACGCAUUAGGCACUCCCUGGGAGUACGACGCAAGGAUGCAAGCUCAAAGGAUUGACGGUGAACCCACUAGCGUGCAGCAUGUAUUGAUUCGAGCUAAGCCUAACAACCAUAUAC